Molecule: ribosomal RNA, 254 nt
Filed under: uncultured bacterium
Lineage: Bacteria
Description: partial 16S ribosomal RNA
Rfam family: Bacterial small subunit ribosomal RNA
Source: RNAcentral
AACGUAGGUGGCGAGCGUUAUCCGGAUUUACUGGGCGUAAAGGGCGCGUAGGCGGUCGUGACAAGUCACUUGUGAAAUCUCCGGGCUUAACUCGGAACGGUCAAGUGAUACUGUCGGACUAGAGUACAGAAGGGGCAACUGGAAUUCUCGGUGUAGCGGUGAAAUGCGUAGAUAUCAGGAAGAACACCCGUGGCUAAGGCGGCUCUCUAGUACGGUACUGACGCUGAGACGCGAAAGCGUGGGGAGCGAACAGG